Molecule: ribosomal RNA, 253 nt
Filed under: uncultured bacterium
Lineage: Bacteria
Description: partial 16S ribosomal RNA
Rfam family: Bacterial small subunit ribosomal RNA
Source: RNAcentral
UACAGAGGUCUCAAGCGUUGUUCGGAUUCAUUGGGCGUAAAGGGUGCGUAGGCGGCGGGGCAAGUCUGAUGUGAAAUCCCGGGGCUCAACCCCGGAACUGCAUUGGAUACUGCCUUGCUUGAGUACUGGAGAGGGAACUGGAAUUUACGGUGUAGCAGUGAAAUGCGUAGAGAUCGUAAGGAAGGCCGGUGGCGAAGGCGAGUCUCUGGACAGUUACCGACGCUGAGGCACGAAGGUCAGGGGAGCAAACGGG